Molecule: long non-coding RNA, 1170 nt
Organism: Pseudophryne corroboree (corroboree frog)
Lineage: Eukaryota; Metazoa; Chordata; Amphibia; Anura; Myobatrachidae
Exons: 9
Source: RefSeq, a predicted model, not a curated record
CGGAGGGCGCUGCAUGUCGCCAAUACGGGGUUUGCAUUCAGCAUGUUUCCAGAGUUUCAGCAUGUGUCCAGAGUUUCUGUGUCCAACUAAAAUCCCGGCGAUCGCCUACCAGUGCCCGGUGCUGAAGGAUCUUCAGCAUUAAAAGUCCAGAAACUAUGGUUACGGGAGAAUAAUGAUCAAGCCUCUCUAAUGAACCACUACUCUCUUCGCCUUGAACAGCACUGUCAUAUUCAACAGGAUCUGUAUAGGAUCUUCAGCAUUAAAAGUCCAGAGACUAUGGUUACGGUGACGCAAAGAACAGUUCCUCACUUCGACAUUGUGGAGAAGUGGAAUUAGCUGACAACAAGCACGGUUGAGCUCCAGAUUUUGGAUUUUUCCAUACUUGACGAUCUACGUGGACUACGAUUGGAAUGGUAACCUGUGUCAAGUGAAGCGAGGCACCUUGCCCGAAGCAUGGCGAAUAAAGCGAGCCAUGAGAGGGGACAAGUGGCUCCCUCUGCGUCGGCAUGGCAGGAGGCUUCAGUGUGUUGCUAGGCUACUAGCACGUCACCACCAAGCUGAUCACGUGACACACCAGGAGGUAUCGGAUGCUGGGUGGACACUGCACGCCGCAAAUCACAUACAUUACCUUAUUUAAGUGAUAUCACCACUAUGGAUGACUGGUAACUGGGAAACCUACUACAGAGGUUCCAUGUAGGCUAUAUUUAUCAUGUGGGUAUUAUCUUUAGCCGCUUCAGGAGUCGUAUGUGCAAAGGCCCAAGAAGAGACAAGGGCACAUUGUUGGAGAGGCCUGUGGAGGAGGAAGAGGCAAGCCCAUCAAAGUAUUCAAAACCAUCAGAAGAAUGGCCACCAGUGCAUGCUUGCCUACUGUCCUGGAAUAUCUAGGAGACUCCAAACUUUUUGGAGAAUGCAAAGGUCUCACAGAAGAGUAAAUCACCCUUCCUCAUCCCACCACGUAGUAAGAUGUGGCAGAAAGCAAUGGCGGAUUUCCCACUAGGCACAUGAGGCAUGUACCUAGGGGUGAAACUUGCUGGGGUGGGGGUGGGGGCACAGCAUACUCACUUGCAUGAGAGUCCUGCUAGGCCAAUGGCCAGAGGAGGUCAGAUGAUUUUUUUUUUGUCAUUACAACUUAUUUUUUUUAUUUUGUAACCGGUGAGGGAGGAGGGGGAA